This 407-nucleotide unclassified non-coding RNA is filed under the name soil metagenome. Its description in RNAcentral is "partial contains 5.8S ribosomal RNA, internal transcribed spacer 2, and large subunit ribosomal RNA". The stretch from base 1 to 121 matches the Rfam family "5.8S ribosomal RNA", at positions 35 to 154 of the family's 154-position model. The record is from RNAcentral.
GAUGAAGAACGCAGCGAAAUGCGAUAAGUAAUGUGAAUUGCAGAAUUCAGUGAAUCAUCGAAUCUUUGAACGCACCUUGCGCCCUUUGGCCAUUCCGAAGGGCAUGCCUGUUUGAGUAUCAUGAACACCUCAACUCUUCAUGGUUUUCCGUGAUGAGCUUGGACUUUGGGGGUCUUGCUGGCCUAUGGUCAGCUCCUCUAAAAUAAAUCAGCUUGCCAGUGUUUGGUGGGUAUCACAGGUGUGAUAACUAUCUACGCUUGUGGUUUUCCACCAGGUAACCUUCAGCAGUGGAGGUUCGCUGGAGCUCACAGAUGUGUCUCUCCUCAGUGAGGACAGCUCUUUGAAUGUUUGAUCUCAAAUCAGGUAGGACUACCCGCUGAACUUAAGCAUAUCAAUAAGCGGGAGGA